GGUAACACUAACUGGAGGACCGAACCGACUAAUGUUGAAAAAUUAGCGGAUGACUUGUGGCUGGGGGUGAAAGGCCAAUCAAACCGGGAGAUAGCUGGUUCUCCCCGAAAGCUAUUUAGGUAGCGCCUCGUGAAUUCAUCUCCGGGGGUAGAGCACUGUUUCGGCAAGGGGGUCAUCCCGACUUACCAACCCGAUGCAAACUGCGAAUACCGGAGAAUGUUAUCACGGGAGACACACGGCGGGUGCUAACGUCCGUCGUGAAGAGGGAAACAACCCAGACCGCCAGCUAAGGUCCCAAAGUCAUGGUUAAGUGGGAAACGAUGUGGGAAGGCCCAGACAGCCAGGAUGUUGGCUUAGAAGCAGCCAUCAUUUAAAGAAAGCGUAAUAGCUCACUGGUCGAGUCGGCCUGCGCGGAAGAUGUAACGGGGCUAAACCAUGCACCG
This 443-nucleotide ribosomal RNA is filed under the name Escherichia coli. Its description in RNAcentral is "partial 23S ribosomal RNA". It matches the Rfam family "Bacterial large subunit ribosomal RNA", at positions 755 to 1196 of the family's 2925-position model. Lineage: Bacteria; Pseudomonadati; Pseudomonadota; Gammaproteobacteria; Enterobacterales; Enterobacteriaceae. The record is from RNAcentral.